Cygnus olor (mute swan) is the source of this 2169-nucleotide long non-coding RNA. RefSeq lists it as uncharacterized. The transcript has 3 exons. The record is from RefSeq and is a predicted model, not a curated record. Lineage: Eukaryota; Metazoa; Chordata; Aves; Anseriformes; Anatidae.
CUUGGCUGAGCUCGUGUGUCAAUGCACAGCAUGCACAAAGAGGCUGCGUUUCCUGCUGGAGGCCUUUCCUCAGCUCCACAGCAGUGCUGCAGAGCCACCGGUGGCAGGAUUUCCCUACUACACAGGAGGGGCUGUACCAGAAGUGCCGUUGUAGUCUCCUAUUCGGAGCUUGUAGAGGCUCCGGGAGUCGCCGAUGGAGAACUUGUCAUAGUAGGCGUACGCUGCGUCCUGACCAUCCCUCAUGUCUAUUCGCAGCUCGUAGCGCCCCUGGGACGUGAUCUUGUGUAUGUUGUCCAGGCCUGGAGAGACAAGCAGUGAGAUGUUGCUGAGGUGUGGCACCUGGGUCUGCUCUGAGAGCAAACAAAAAAGCUCCGGGCAAAUAAACUGCUUCUGGGAGAUGAGAGUAAGGAGAGCAGCCAGAGAGCGACUUCUGGCUGAGCCUUUCUCUCUUGAGGCACUGGUGGGGGCUGAGCUCUGUCCCCACUCAAGCUUCAGGUCCCCACGGCUAUGAGAGGUGGGCUCAAGUCUCAGCUUCAGCUCUCUGCAUGCUGCUGAAGUUGGGGGGAGCCCUGCUGCUGCUGUUGUUGCCCACCCACCUUGGGCUUUGGCUGAGGCAUGAGCCAGAGCGUGGCUAUGCUGCAGGGCCAGCUUGUGCUCAGAUUGUGGGGGAGACUGCUCCAUUUCAGAGCUAUGCCAGGUCUCCCAUUCCCCCCUUUCCUACUUUGAGUAACUCACUGGCUAAGGCCAGGAGAGGUCCUUGAGAUGUUGUCCUCCAUCACAACCUCUCAACAAGGGAAAAUGCUGGCCCAUGAAAAACCCCAUCAUGACGCCUCCUCAGCUCCCACGCGGAGCACCCUGGGCACCUUCACAGCGUGCUUUUUGGUCCCGUACCCAUGUGUGCCUUCCCAACACAGCAUCAGGGAACAAACAAGGGAAGGAAAAUGGUCUGGGGGGGAGUGCAGGGGAGCGGUGAGAAGAGCCAGCCAGGGCCAGGGCAGAAAUCGUGCCAACACAGUGAGCUGGCACCUCGGUGAAAGUCUUACCCAGCCAAAACUCGUCCUCCAGGUUGCCGAAGCCGACACGGUAAUCUGCCCAUUUCCGGAAGAAAUCAGUCAGCCCAUUCUGCCGCCUCUGGAAAACCUGCAGCGGGAGAAAGCCGGGGGAAAGCCUGGUGAGAAGUGGGAUGAGCUAGCUGGGCUUUGGGACACACACAGCCCGGAGAGUGCUCUGCCCUUUCACAGUGCCUUUCAGGAGGGAAAACUGCAACCCCCAGCUGGGGACUGUUAAUUGCAGCCAUGCAGUCGAUUCAAGUGCAGACGGGUAAGCUGAAGACAAGCUAGAAGAUGUGGACAUUAAUGCUAUAAUGGACCUAGGAGGGAAGAUUCAGCUUCAAACUCCCUGCUCUACCCAGGGCACAGUGGCUUUCUAGCACAUGAUUCUGUUCUGCUGGCUCCUAUGUGAUACCCAAGGGGAUACUUUGAAGUAGAGUGAGAUGGAGGGAAAUUUCUCGGCUAAAAAAAAAAAAAACCACUGUGCAAGAACUCAGCAUUUGAGGAAGCACUUUUUUUUGGUCUUGUUUUGACUGUACAUCUAACGGGGUUUUGUGUAAUACAUGUGAGCGAGUGUUUGACACGAAUAAAAUCAAAAUGCCAGAGCAUUGUUUACCUAGGUUGCCAGUCCAUCUAAGUCAAGACAAGCAGUGAUUGUGCAAUUCAACAGCAAAACAGGCAUUUGCCUCUGAAAUGCUCCUGUGCAGACCCAAUCUGGGUGAUGCCUGACACCAUCAUAUUGCAGGCAGUGUGAAUCAUUCCCUAUGAAAGCUCCUAGACAUUAAUUUCAUUUCUAAAACAAUAAAUCAGCUCAGCUUCACUCACAGAUUUUGUUCUCUAAAAGCACUGCAAAUGUGUCAAAUAAAUCAAGGGGCAUUUCUCCAAGUGUAACUAUUAUUACUGGAGCGUGGGCCAUUCCCCAUGGCGUGUGAAAUGAAGCGAGCAAUAUUAAGCCUGCUCUCAUUCCUGCGCGGCAUGGUGCUUGGCUUUGCUGGCAGGAUGGGGCUUGGCUCCUUUGCGAUGGGGACAGCAUGUAGAGGGGCUGCAGGGAGCUGUUCUGUCACUGUUCCCAUCGAGCUGCAGUCUCUGGGGUGAUGCUGGGGCUGCCUUGGUGCUGGAG